CGGCAAACAUGGCUGCUCCGUCCACCUGAGCUACCACCUGAUUGGUGAUCACCACGGCCACGCCAAACUGAGGAGAAAACAUUCAGCAGAUAUUAUGUGAAGAUGAUCGCAACUGACAGAGCUAAAUAUAAACCAGCCGCAGCAACAUCCUCAGGAAGCGAGCCAAGUGCAUCUGCCGCGCAGACAGCUCCCCUCUGCCCGAGUAAUCUGUUCUGUAUAGAGCUGUAGCGCUGUCCACUAUGAGAAGAGCGUACCUGCACAAAGGAACAAAAAUCUAAGCUGAAGGUGCAAAAGCAGACAAGAUUUUGGAGAAGGAACAUGACGGUGGUGUGAAAAGGGCCUAAGAAGAGGAGAAAGCCGCUGUCAGACACCUCUGGAAGUGACUUAUCUGCACAUGAACAAAAGCAUCAGGCAAGAAAAAAAAACACCUGACAAGAAAUCAUGGCGGAGGCUACCGCGGUACUAGGAGCGGCGCCAUCCCGGUCCCCGCCGUGCAUUCUCUUGAUACUAAUAUGUGGGUAUUAUUCACCACAUACUAUGCACUGAUGUAGUUUGAUGUUUCUAAUGUCAUUUGGCACCUUAUACUAUUAUACUGUGUAUCUAUGUUUACUCAUGUAAAGGUACGUUCAGACAAGCGGAUUUGCAGCGUAUUUUACGCUGCAGAUCCGCCGCUGAAGGACCUCUAUAUGGUGGCUUUACAUGUGCCUGCU
This is a long non-coding RNA of Hyla sarda, 710 nucleotides long. RefSeq lists it as uncharacterized. The record is from RefSeq and is a predicted model, not a curated record. The transcript is spliced from 3 exons. Lineage: Eukaryota; Metazoa; Chordata; Amphibia; Anura; Hylidae.